Molecule: long non-coding RNA, 776 nt
Filed under: Gouania willdenowi (blunt-snouted clingfish)
Lineage: Eukaryota; Metazoa; Chordata; Actinopteri; Blenniiformes; Gobiesocidae
Description: lncRNA (ENSGWIG00000020277.1)
Source: RNAcentral
CAGCUCAGAGUUAGGUGUGCAGUCAAACGCGAGAGCAUCGUCUGACUCGGCAGCAGGUUGAGCAGAGAUUUUGAGAGCAUUUUCUCUGAGAUAAGGCAAGUCUCCAGAUAGUCUCUAAAAAAAAAAAAAAAAAAAAAAAAAAAAAAAAAAAAAAAGAAAAUGAACUCAGAAGUCAGAGACCCUCGAUUGAUGACCCAAACACAAGAUGUGUAUUUGUCAUCAGGAGCAGCGAGUAUUGUGAGUUCUUUUUUGUGUGAUUAAAAACAUUCUAGUAAGAAUUCUGACCAUGUUUGAUAGUUAAUUGUGCUUUUCUUUAUCUUUGCCUUUUCCCAGCCAUCCUUCAAAAAUCCAAUAAGAUAACGGUCUUCCCCUUCAAGAUGGAUUUGAGUUACGUUCCUCCUGAGUUCUUCAGCGUCGACCCACCACCUCUGCAUCAGAACGUGCUAAUAGAUCAAUGGCUGUGCAGAACCUGCUCUGACUGACUGGAAAAGCAUCCCCAGCACUUUUGGAAGAAUACCCAGAGGCAACAAACCAGCAGCGUAGUCCAGGACAUCCCAGCACCACUGAGCUACACUAAAAGCGCAGAUCAACAAUUGUUACCCAAACUAGUGAUGAGUACCAGAGACAUUUGCAAUUUGCAACCUGAACCAUUCAAGUGCAGUGUAAAUUUAUUAUGUAUAUGAGCUCCUGUCAUGUGGAAAGUUAGAGCUUGUCAUUAACACUCGCUAACUAGCCUCUAUGGAUAACGGCCUGUCAAUCAAAGUCCGGCCCCGAUU